Long non-coding RNA from Oxyura jamaicensis (ruddy duck), 1538 nucleotides. RefSeq lists it as uncharacterized. The transcript is spliced from 5 exons. The record is from RefSeq and is a predicted model, not a curated record. Lineage: Eukaryota; Metazoa; Chordata; Aves; Anseriformes; Anatidae.
AAAUGGGUUGAUCCAUGAGAAUUGCCCCGAGCAUACUGCUGUCCUUCAGCUGUGGAUGUGUGCUGCAGAGUCCUGAACUUAAAGAGUAUUUUUAUUGCUCUUGAUCCGUCUCCUUGGUAAGGAUUCUGCCUGUUCAGGAGUGCCUCGGGUUCCCUGCCUGCCCUUCUUUGGAAACUUGUCCUCCUGGAAGCACCUCUCCACUCUCACUUUGUGACUGAAGAGCACCAUGGAGUCCUCUGGGUCCCUUGCCCCUCUUCCUGGCACUUGCAGGAGUAUUUCCACUUGGACAUCCCACAGGUUCUUGGUCACUUUUAUUUAAUCCAGAAAACUGUCAUUUCUGAACAUAUGACCCUCACCAGGCUGCACAGGGGCACAGUUACCCAUAAAAUGCCUGUGCAAGCCUAGGACCACAGGUGGACGAGGCUCCUGGUGCACUUCGCUGCCGGUGUUGGUUCAUGUGGCAGCCAGCGUACUUACAGCAUCAAGGCGUGAUACAGGUUUCAGGCCAGCUUUGAGCGUUUGACAGCCCAUGCCUGACCGAGGAAAUGAGCACUCAGAUGGCUGCCUGAGUCGGUGCCCAAGAGAACGACAGAAGAAACUAAUGAAAUAGAGCAGGGCUGUGUAGCAAAGUCAUUUGUUGACUGGAGGACUCUCUUUUCUUGCUGGAGAAGGCUGGAAAUGCAUAAUGAAUGAGACAGGAUACUCCAGAAAGUUGUAAAAUGGUCUCAGAGGGGCGGCUCGACGCCUUUGUGGAGAGCUAGGUUCUGUCUCUCGCUCAGCCACAGACUUGGUUUCUAUCCCUUAAACAGAAAAGUUGACCACAAAGUGCAUGCUUCUCAUUUUCUGCAUGUCCAAGGUAAGGCAGACGGGACUUGUUUUUAGAGAGAAACCAUCUACAGACGGCAUGGUGGGAGCUUGGUCUAUGUGAUGAGCUGGGAGAAGGAUUGGCGCUCUGGAAAAUGAACCAGUAUCUCAGCCUGGGGAUUCAGAAUCCACGGAUGCUUUUCAAAGGUCUAUACUAAAGUUUCCCCAUAUCUUGGCCCUUUGUUAGCAACGUGAGGAAAGUGAUCUCUACGUAUCUCAGCCAAACUGUAAGCAAUCCUUAGUAUUUUCAGGGUACAAGAUGCUGCCGUGGAAACAGCUGGGAGGAAAACACUAGUUUUAUGCUUGAGGCAGGAUUUGGAAGACAUGAGGUAAAUAAGGAUAAGGGAUGCGUAUUAUAGUAGCAGGCUAAAAAUAAACAGAAACAUCAGUUCACAGAGGAAGACAAUGGCUCUGUAUAAAAAUAUGGCCUACGACUGUGUAAUUAAAGCCUGCAUUUCAACCCAAAGAAACUGAAGUAAGAGAAUUGUGUGGGUGGUUUUAGCUCCGAUAUGACUUAGUCACCAAGUUUCUGCUUUAAUAGGUGGCUUGUCAGAGGUAGUUGUGUAUGUAACAGCGUUGUAAUAACUUCCACAACAUAAGCUUAACACUGCACUAAAAGCAAACAUCUUGCUUUAAAACGGACGCAUUUCACCAGACGCAAUUUUCUCCUUCAC